Molecule: ribosomal RNA, 119 nt
Filed under: Pteropus alecto (black flying fox)
Lineage: Eukaryota; Metazoa; Chordata; Mammalia; Chiroptera; Pteropodidae
Source: RNAcentral
GUCUACAGCCAUGCCACCUUGAACAAGCCCAAUCCCGUCUAAUCUCGGAAGCUAAGCAGGUUUGGAUCUGGUUAGUACUUGGAUAGGAGACCACCCAGGAAGACCAGGUGCUGUAGGCG